This 368-nucleotide transfer-messenger RNA is filed under the name Bacteroidota bacterium. Its description in RNAcentral is "Bacteroidetes bacterium (bioreactor metagenome) transfer-messenger RNA". It matches the Rfam family "transfer-messenger RNA". From Rfam's summary of the family: Bacterial tmRNA, also known as 10Sa RNA or SsrA, is named for its dual tRNA and mRNA-like properties. Its role is to liberate the mRNA from a stalled ribosome. The record is from RNAcentral. Lineage: Bacteria; Pseudomonadati; Bacteroidota.
GGGGCUGACCGGAAUUGACGGGUAGAGCGGCUGAGGUGUAAGCAUGUAGAGCUUUGUUUGCUGGCUCUUUAAUCCUAACACUCAAAUUUUAAGAGGCGAAAAUAACUUCGCAAUGGCUGCCUAAUCAAGGAUUAGACAAAUUCCAUACGUUUACGGUACCCCUGUCUGAGCCGGUGCCGGUUCGAACGUUCGACAAGCUCAGAUAUGCAUGAGGGGUGGUCGCGACCGAUUGCAUUACCAAGCGGCAUAAGGAUAAGAUUUGGGCUUCGAUGAUCCAAUUUUAUCCCGACAAUAAUCAUCGAUAAACAUGUAGAAAGCGCCAUCAUCUCCUACUCCGGACCAGGGUUCGAAUCCCUGCAGCUCCACGA